UACGAAGGGGGCUAGCGUUGCUCGGAAUCACUGGGCGUAAAGGGUGCGUAGGCGGGUCUUUAAGUCAGGGGUGAAAUCCUGGAGCUCAACUCCAGAACUGCCUUUGAUACUGGCGAUCUCGAGUCCGGGAGAGGUGAGUAGAACUCCGAGUGUAGAGGUGAAAUUCGUAGAUAUUCGGAAGAACACCAGUGGCGAAGGCGGCUCACUGGCCCGGUACUGACGCUGAGGUGCGAAAGCGUGGGGAGCAAACAGG
RNAcentral lists this ribosomal RNA (253 nucleotides) under uncultured bacterium. RNAcentral describes it as "partial 16S ribosomal RNA". It matches the Rfam family "Bacterial small subunit ribosomal RNA", at positions 524 to 776 of the family's 1533-position model. The record is from RNAcentral.